Molecule: transfer RNA, 52 nt
Filed under: Paratemnoides elongatus
Lineage: Eukaryota; Metazoa; Arthropoda; Arachnida; Pseudoscorpiones; Atemnidae
Description: tRNA-Val
Source: RNAcentral
UAAGGCAUAGCUUGAGUAGCGUUUCACUUACACUGAAUUUUUAUAGCCUUAG